This 524-nucleotide ribosomal RNA is filed under the name uncultured bacterium. RNAcentral's name for it is "bacterial SSU rRNA". It matches the Rfam family "Bacterial small subunit ribosomal RNA", at positions 777 to 1301 of the family's 1533-position model. The record is from RNAcentral.
AAUAGAUACCCGGGUAGUCCACGCCGUAAACGAUGAGUGCUAAGUGUUAGAGGGUUUCCGCCCUUUAGUGCUGCAGCAAACGCAUUAAGCACUCCGCCUGGGGAGUACGGUCGCAAGACUGAAACUCAAAGGAAUUGACGGGGGCCCGCACAAGCGGUGGAGCAUGUGGUUUAAUUCGAAGCAACGCGAAGAACCUUACCAGGUCUUGACAUCCUCUGACAACCCUAGAGAUAGGGCUUCCCCUUCGGGGGCAGAGUGACAGGUGGUGCAUGGUUGUCGUCAGCUCGUGUCGUGAGAUGUUGGGUUAAGUCCCGCAACGAGCGCAACCCUUGAUCUUAGUUGCCAGCAUUCAGUUGGGCACUCUAAGGUGACUGCCGGUGACAAACCGGAGGAAGGUGGGGAUGACGUCAAAUCAUCAUGCCCCUUAUGACCUGGGCUACACACGUGCUACAAUGGGCAGAACAAAGGGCAGCGAAGCCGCGAGGCUAAGCCAAUCCCGCAAAUCUGUUCUCAGUUCGGAUCGC